GUAAGGUUUUUAUUUUAAUUUUUCCCCCUUGAAGAUUUCAGUUUGUUUUUCAAUUGAAUUGUUCACAUUAUAGGUCACAUUAAAAGUGGAAAAAGUUCUCACAUGAUUUAUCUUUGUCUCAUUCUUUUACAUCACAGAAACCUGGCAUUUUAACAGGGGUGUGUAUACUUUUUAUAUCCACUGUACUUCUAUUAGAUUUGGUCCUAGAGGUGCCAAAAAUUGUUACACAUUUUUUAUAAUUAUAUUUAUUUCUUAAGAUUCUGAAACAUUUUGUAACAACAAUGACAUUUCUUUCAUCUCCAACUAUUAACCAAACAGCUGCAUUAUAAUAUACUCAAAACUAGUUCCCUGCAUUUAGAUGCAUAUAUUGAAGUUGUUUAUUUGCAAAUGUAUUCAUCAACUGUAAAUCCAUUUAUAGAAUAUACUCAUUCCUCAUAUCCCGUUACCCUAUAUGCUCACCACCCAUUGCUGUGUAUGUACUAUAUAUCAUCUGUGUAUAGAUUUUGUGUAUUCACUCCUAUGUUCUCUAUCGCCAUUGCAAUAAGUACAUGUACACAUUCUUGGUAUGGGUCACUGUACUUAGUGAAUGACAGUGAUUCUGAUUUCGAUAUAGGCCAACAUUAUUUGCUUCUCAGUAUGUUUUUUUGGGGGGUGGAGGUUCAUUUAUUAUUAUUUAUGGCAUAAUAGCAACAAAGAUAAUUCAAUUUAACAUUUAUUUUGAUCGUUAUUGUAGCUUUAGAAAACAAUGAUAUAAAAUACUUCUUAAUCAAGGAUUUCUUUCUUUUUCAUAAAAAUAUACAAAUAUUGACACCUAUAAGACAGCAUUGGUUAUCCUAAAUGGUACAUCGAUCUGGCGGGUUUGAACAAUAUCAGUUGAUCAACACUUGGAAGAAAAAAAGUCCUGUCUGUGGGUGACAGUAACACUGUACAAGCAUAAAAAAUUACAAAGGUCCCUUGGCCAAAUGUACCUGAUAAUUACAUCAACCUCCCAGAAAACCUGGCAUACAAGUAUAAAUAAAUGGAAUGAGAUGUGUCGAAAUUCCAACAAAACAGGCAUUUUAAGCCUACUCCUUAAAUCCUGUGUGUGUGUUUAAAAUUAUGAUGUUUUUCUCUAUAUAUUCUGAGUAGAAAAGUGGAAAAAUAUUCUAUCUAAUGCUUCUUCAUUUUUCUUGGAUUGUUCAUCUGAGUGUUUCUGAGAAGGCACUUGAUUGGAGGGAGAAGCUGUAUUUGUCAUAGGGAUGUUUGGCAGCAGUUGGAUGGUCUCCAGGUCAUAUGGAAUCUUUUAGAGGUAAACAGAAAUAAAAUAUAUUUAACAAGAUACAGGACAUACAGUUUAAAUUACAAUACAAUAACUUAGCAGCACUUGCUAAAUUUUUACCUGUUGCAUUUAUAAAUGCAUGUAAGAUUACCCCUUUUGUAUCAUCAUGUAUCAUGUUCAGUGAUUGCACAGUUGAUGUCAGUUAUUUUCUCACUAAACUGAUCAUCGUUCUUUGUCCCAGGAACAUAACAGUUUGGUUUGUAUCCUGACCCACGUUCAAUGUCAUGGCCAAUUUUACAGAGCCUACUGUCAUAUCAUUGUUAUAAUAACAAAACAACCCAUUCCAGAUUAAAUCAAUACACCACUUUUCUUUGAACAUCUAUGCAUGCUGAAUGUUAUGUCUUAUUCAUGUUCUGUCUGGUCCCAUCCUGUUAGCACUCUCUCACCCCAGUUCGCAUUGCCCAAUGUUUCCUCUGCCCACUUCGCUUCUCUCCAUUUAAAAUGAAUGACGUCAGAAGUUUCCUCACUCCCAUCAGCUUUUCUAAUGCCCAAGAUAUAACACAAUGCGAAGUCUCACACCACAUUCCUCUUAAUACCUGUGGUGUGGUUUGUGGCAAUGUAAUUUUAAUAAGACAAUCUUUA
This is a long non-coding RNA of Esox lucius (northern pike), 1900 nucleotides long. Lineage: Eukaryota; Metazoa; Chordata; Actinopteri; Esociformes; Esocidae. The record is from Ensembl.